This 22-nucleotide microRNA is filed under the name Tetranychus urticae (two-spotted spider mite). RNAcentral's name for it is "tur-miR-252-3p". Its record names the gene tur-miR-252-3p. The record is from miRBase by way of RNAcentral. Lineage: Eukaryota; Metazoa; Arthropoda; Arachnida; Trombidiformes; Tetranychidae.
UCCUGCAGCCUUGGUGCUUACU